GACGAACGCUGGCGGCGUGCUUAACACAUGCAAGUCGAACGGAAAGGCCCUGCUUUUGUGGGGUGCUCGAGUGGCGAACGGGUGAGUAACACGUGAGUAACCUUCCCUUGACUUUGGGAUAACUUCAGGAAACUGGGGCUAAUACCGGAUAGGUGCUCCUGCUGCAUGGUGGGGGUUGGAAAGCUUCGGCGGUUGGGGGUGGACGCGCGGCUUAUCAGCUUGUUGGUGGGGUAGUGGCUUACCAAGGCUUUGACGGGUAGCCGGCCUGGGAGGGUGACCGGCCACAUUGGGACUGAGGUACGGCGCAGAGUCGUACGGGAGGCAGCAGUGGAGAAUAUUGUACAAUGGGGGGAAGCCUGAUGCAGCGACGCCGCGUGCGGGAUGACGGUCUUGGUGUUGUAAACCGCUUUCGCCUGUGACGAAGCGUGAGUGACGGUAAUGGGUAAAGAAGCACCGGCUAACUACGUG
Molecule: ribosomal RNA, 468 nt
Filed under: uncultured bacterium
Lineage: Bacteria
Description: partial 16S ribosomal RNA
Rfam family: Bacterial small subunit ribosomal RNA
Source: RNAcentral